AAGGAACUCAGGCUGUUAAAAGAUGGCUUUCAUUGUAAUGCAGCAGCUCUUCCAUUUUCCAUGAGAAUAUAAAGGCCUGGCCUCCAUACCCCAAGUCAAGGCAAUCGGAAGGCCCAUCCCUGCUUUCCAGUUCCCCAUGGAGUCGGCAGAGGCCCAACUGUGCCUGCUUUGGAACCCAUCUUCUCUCUCUACCCAACCCUACUUCCUUCCUCAGAAGACUUUGAAUGAACUUCCUGACUUCAAUCUCCAUCUCAGAUUCUGCUGCCUGCACAUCUGACCUACAGAACUUUUCCUUUAUUCUGCUUUAUUUUUUCUCCAUAGCACUUACUACAUUUAUUGCUCUAUCACAUACUCAUAUAUCACAUAUUCAUUACUGACCUAUUAUAUAUUCAUUUUCUACUGUAUUAUUGGCCCUCUCCCUCCUCCCAUUAGAUUGUAAGCUCCGGUGGGGCAGGAAUUUUGUUUUACUUGCUGCUGUAACCACAGGACUUGGAACACUGAAAGCACUAUAUAGAUUUUCAUGACAAAUAUCAAAUAAAUGAAAGUUGGGACUUGCAAACAUAUAGCCUGUUUACAUUGCUGUUCCUGAACCCCAGGUUUUACUGUCUGCCAAAAAUCCAGAGUACCCUACAUUGGUAUCCAUUAAUUAAGAUCAGACCAGAAAUUAAGAAUAUUUAAAGGGAUUUGCACCAGCACAAUUAGGACUAUAGCAGCAAGAGUUAACAUUUUCAGCGGAACAACUUUUGUCACAUUUCUUUAAUUUAUAUAACUUCGAUUAUAAUAGUCAUCUUCAGAAUAAUGAUGGCUAGCAUUAGCAUAAAGUGCUCUGGGUCACAAAGCUUUGCACAUAUUAUUUCAUUUAGUUUGAUGCUGAUGAAACCAUGUAAAGGACAUAGAAUUGUUAUGCUAGUUUCACUAAUGAGGAGACUAAAGCUCUGAGAGCUUCAAUGACUUUUUCAAUGACACACCUGAUAAAUGAGUUCCAUCCAGGUCUACUGACUCCAAAUCCACUGUUCUAUCUCUCAGUACAUCACCCUAAUAAUUCCCUGGAGAGUGACUCCACAAAACUAAAGCUCUUCUACAAUACCGAUCAGAAAAGCAAAAUGGGGCACCUCAGCAACCCAACUAAAAGACAUCCUGUAUGUA
RNAcentral lists this long non-coding RNA (1146 nucleotides) under Homo sapiens (human). Its description in RNAcentral is "HSALNT0322659". The record is from RNAcentral. Lineage: Eukaryota; Metazoa; Chordata; Mammalia; Primates; Hominidae.